UACGGGGGGGGCAGGCGUUGUUCGGAAUUACUGGGCGUAAAGGGCUCGUAGGUGGCCAACUAAGUCAGACGUGAAAUCCCUCAGCUUAACUGGGGAACUGCGUCUGAUACUGGAUGGCUUGAGUUUGGGAGAGGGAUGCGGAAUUCCAGGUGUAGCGGUGAAAUGCGUAGAUAUCUGGAGGAACACCGGUGGCGAAGGCGGCAUCCUGGACCAACACUGACACUGAGGAGCGAAAGCCAGGGGAGCAAACGGG
RNAcentral lists this ribosomal RNA (253 nucleotides) under uncultured bacterium. RNAcentral describes it as "partial 16S ribosomal RNA". It matches the Rfam family "Bacterial small subunit ribosomal RNA", at positions 524 to 776 of the family's 1533-position model. The record is from RNAcentral.